Molecule: long non-coding RNA, 206 nt
Filed under: Elaeis guineensis (African oil palm)
Lineage: Eukaryota; Viridiplantae; Streptophyta; Magnoliopsida; Arecales; Arecaceae
Description: long non-coding RNA (EGUI_LNC031326)
Source: RNAcentral
CCUCUCUCUUUCUUUCUUUUUAUUUUUUUUAAAGCCCUAAGGCCUCUUUGUUUGUGUAUUAGGUGCACGCCAUCUUCUCGCCAGCACAUGAACCUGCAUGCCCACGUCCAGUCUGAGUUCGCACGCCAGGACCUGCUCCCGCCUGCGCUUGAAAUCACACCUAGUUGUGACGUACCCGCAUGACCACAUGCAGUCGUGCCCACUCC